GAAAUGCGAUACUUGGUGUGAAUUGCAGAAUCCCGUGAACCAUCGAGUCUUUGAACGCAAGUUGCGCCCGAAGCCAUUAGGCCGAGGGCACGCCGUAAAACCCCAACUUUUUUCAGGUUGACCUCGAAUCAGGUAGGACUACCCGCUGAACUUAA
This 155-nucleotide unclassified non-coding RNA is filed under the name uncultured fungus. RNAcentral's name for it is "sequence contains ITS1". The stretch from base 1 to 98 matches the Rfam family "5.8S ribosomal RNA", at positions 50 to 154 of the family's 154-position model. Rfam says of the family: 5.8S ribosomal RNA (5.8S rRNA) is a component of the large subunit of the eukaryotic ribosome. It is transcribed by RNA polymerase I as part of the 45S precursor that also contains 18S and 28S rRNA. The record is from RNAcentral. Lineage: Eukaryota; Fungi.